UACGGAGGAUCCAAGCGUUGUCCGGAUUUAUUGGGUUUAAAGGGUGCGUAGGUGGAUACUUAAGUCAGGGGUGAAAGCCUGCAGCUCAACUGUAGAACUGCCCUUGAAACUGAUUAUCUUGAGUGCGGUUGAGGUAGGCGGAAUGUGUCAUGUAGCGGUGAAAUGCUUAGAUAUGAUACAGAACACCGAUUGCGAAGGCAGCUUACUAAACCGUAACUGACACUGAGGCACGAAAGCAUGGGGAGCAAACAGG
This 253-nucleotide ribosomal RNA is filed under the name uncultured bacterium. Its description in RNAcentral is "partial 16S ribosomal RNA". It matches the Rfam family "Bacterial small subunit ribosomal RNA", at positions 524 to 776 of the family's 1533-position model. The record is from RNAcentral.